This 497-nucleotide ribosomal RNA is filed under the name uncultured bacterium. Its description in RNAcentral is "partial 16S ribosomal RNA". It matches the Rfam family "Bacterial small subunit ribosomal RNA", at positions 28 to 507 of the family's 1533-position model. The record is from RNAcentral.
GAUGAACGCUGGCGGCGUGCCUAAUACAUGCAAGUCGAGCGAACAGACGAGGAGCUUGCGCCUCUGACGUUAGCGGCGGACGGGUGAGUAACACGUGGAUAACCUACCUAUAAGACUGGGAUAACUUCGGGAAACCGGAGCUAAUACCGGAUAAUAUAUUGAACCGCAUGGUUCAAUAGUGAAAGACGGUUUUGCUGUCACUUAUAGAUGGAUCCGCGCCGCAUUAGCUAGUUGGUAAGGUAACGGCUUACCAAGGCAACGAUGCGUAGCCGACCUGAGAGGGUGAUCGGCCACACCGGAACUGAGACACGGUCCAGACUCCUACGGGAGGCAGCAGUAGGGAAUCUUCCGCAAUGGGCGAAAGCUUGACGGAGCAACGCCGCGUGAGUGAUGAAGGUCUUCGGAUCGUAAAACUCUGUUAUUAGGGAAGAACAAAUGUGUAAGUAACUAUGCACGUCUUGACGGUACCUAAUCAGAAAGCCACGGCUAACUACGUG